AACGAACGCUGGCGGCAUGCCUAACACAUGCAAGUCGAACGAGAUCUUCGGGUCUAGUGGCGCACGGGUGCGUAACGCGUGGGAAUCUGCCCUUUGGUUCGGAAUAACAGUUGGAAACGACUGCUAAUACCGGAUGAUGACGAAAGUCCAAAGAUUUAUCGCCAGAGGAUGAGCCCGCGUAGGAUUAGCUAGUUGGUGUGGUAAAGGCGCACCAAGGCGACGAUCCUUAGCUGGUCUGAGAGGAUGAUCAGCCACACGGGGACUGAGACAUGGCCCGGAAUCCUAGGGGAGGAAGCAGUGGGGAAUAUUGGACAAUGGGCGAAAGCCUGAUCCAGCAAUGCCGCGUGAGUGAUGAAGGCCGUAGGGUUGUAAAGCUCUUUUACCCGGGAUGAUGAUGACAGUACCGGGAGAAUAAGCUCCGGCUAACUCCGUGCCAGCAGCCGCCGUAA
Molecule: ribosomal RNA, 449 nt
Filed under: uncultured bacterium
Lineage: Bacteria
Description: partial 16S ribosomal RNA
Rfam family: Bacterial small subunit ribosomal RNA
Source: RNAcentral